UAAGUACCUAUAAGAACAGGUCAUGUGACCUAGUUUAGGUACUUAGUACCAUAAAAUUGUUUAUAUUAAAGUUAAGCUAUUGUAACAAUAAUUGUACCUG
Molecule: long non-coding RNA, 100 nt
Organism: Aricia agestis (brown argus)
Lineage: Eukaryota; Metazoa; Arthropoda; Insecta; Lepidoptera; Lycaenidae
Exons: 4
Source: RefSeq, a predicted model, not a curated record